AUCACUUAGGCAUAAUAUAUAUGUAUAUCUCAAGGAUCCAUCAUGGUUACAAGCAUAUGUAGGUUCACAAGCCCAGUAUUACAGCACAACAUCCUUCAUGUAAUUCACUAUUCCCAUGCGCACAGAGGCAUACAUAUGUAGGUCAAUAGGUCCAAUAUUGCAUAAUAGAGAAAAGCGCAAAAUACAACAUCUGGUUUCAGCUACAAACAGAUCCCAGCAGAAGAUCCUUCCAGCUCACAAAACACAACUAUUUAAAGUUGUGGAUGCAAGAGAAUUACACCGGUGACCAAUAAAAAAAGAAGCGGCCAAUUAGAUAAGCUGGGAAGAACACAUGUUUCAGAAAUCCACUGCACAACUACUUGCAAGCAAGAGCAGAUCAGAAUUCCACAAGGCACACCCAUAAUGUCUGUUAUGUACUCAUAAGAAUAGAUAAGGCACAUGGUGAUCAUAGUUAAGGUUCUCACUUUGCAAAUCAUCACCAACUUACUUGGAUCAAGGUUUACUUUUCCAAUUUAAUAGAAUAUAAUGAUUAACUUGGAAGUUGCUAUGUUUGUUAUUAGCAAAGAUGGAAAAGCUAUAAUUAUUUUUCAAUAGAAUGGCCCUUGUGAUUAGAAGAAGAAAUUGUAAUUUUAGAUGAACUAAAUAUGGAUCCAUGGUAAUCUAUCUUGAUUGAAAAUUACAAGCUCAGGUAGGCUCUAUUCAGACAGUGUGAGAAUGGCUCUCAGAGAACAAAAAGAAAGAAGAGCGUUGGCCCUAGUCUCUGCUAGCAUUCAUCCCAAACAACCAGGAAAAGUGAGGUCUAAUUUUUUUCAAUAGCUAGUUCAUUGUACACUUUGUCUAGAUGAUAAUGAAAACAGAAUUAGCAAGAAUUCUAGAAUCUGCAAUACCUUCUAGAUGUGGGGACUGCUACCGGCUGUGAUGGUUGCUUCUGCGUAACUUCACAAACAAACUCCAGAACGAGUGAAGCAAAUGGUUUCACAAGGUGAGUAGACCAGCCUUGUAGCAACGUUGCCAACCUGAAGAGGAAAUAAGUCAAUUAACACAUACUCCCUCCGUUCCUAAAUAUUUGUCUUUUUAGAGAUUUCAACAAGUGACUACAUACGGAGUAAAAUGAGUGAAUCUACACUUUAAAAUAUGUCUAUAUACAUCCAUAUGUGGUAGUCCAUUUGAAAUCUCUAAAAAGACAAAUAUUUAGGAACGGAGGGAGUACAUGUAUUGUAGAGGAUUCAUGCAAGAGAGUUCAUGCAGAAAAAAACAAGUGCACCCCAUUUAGGAAAAAUGAAAAGAAGGACAUGCAGAAAAAAAAGUUAAAAUGGAAAAACAAAGGGAAACAGUACUUUUAGUUUGUAUUUCACUUUCCAAGUUAGUUAAGGAGUAAAUCUGGGCCAUUAAAUAUGAUUUAGGGAAGUGAAAACAGUAGAGUACUAGAAGUGCAUGCGAGCACUAUUUAAAGGGUCUAGCUUGCCAUGUACCGGUGGUGAGUUCUUGUUUAGUCAAUUGAAAAAACAAAAAGUCAACAUUUUUUCAUUUGCCGAGCAAAAUUAUCAAACGCACUACACAAGCUUGCAUGAAACUGCAAACAAACAGGUCAUUUUACUAUAUCACCAAGCAGACCAUAAGAAUGGCAGCUCAAACAAGUACAUGUUUUACAAACAAAGUGGUUAUUCUAUAUUAGAACAAUUGUCGGUCAGUGAUUAAGAAAUACAUGUUCGCUCAACCUAAAAGCUGAAGAGCUGAUGUCCAAAUGUGAGUACGUGACUAACUAGACAACAAAUUUUGCUAGCUGAAACUGAACAAGGAUAUGCUGUUUUGGUUUUAUCUGGGAUUUUUUGAACCAUCCAGCAACAGCCUACCUAUGUAUGUACUAGCUGAAGGAGUAGUACUGUUGGGACUUCAGAGUACUCUAGUAGUAUUGGUUUUCGAGAGAUGUCUUUUUUGAAUGACAGCUGAUGUACACUAAAACUGGGUGUCUAAAGCAAGAAAGUUUCAGCUAGGUUUAGAAACAAUUUCUAGUUUUCACACUAACUAUUAUGAAUAAGAAAAUUUCAAACUUUAGAUUUGUGGUACUGAAGCUUAGGCAAUUAGCAAGUUGCAUAGCUAACAGGCUUAGCGUUUGAAGAUGAGCCCUCGUGUCGUCCUAGGCAGGGACAAGGCUUAGUGUUCAUAGAUGAGCCUUCGCGUCGCCCUGGGCGAGGACGAGGCUUAGUGUUUAUAGAUGAGCCCUCCCAUCGCACUGGGCAGGGACAACGCAAGUAGUGCGUUUUCUGUCUAGAGUACAGACGGAUGGUGAAUGGCAGCAAGCAACAAUAAAAACGAGUUUUAUUUUGUAUGCUCGAGGCACAAGAAUCAUUGGGCCUGGAAUGUGAAGCUACAGGAAGUUGCACAUCAGUACAACAAUCCAUCCAACCGAAAACUCCAUCCAGCACUAGCAGGACAACACAAUUUUCAACCCUUGCCUAAAUAUAACCAGCCAACACAAAUCAAUUUUUUUACAAACCUAAAUAAGGCCGUGAAAUCGUAAUUACAAACCGAAGCAACCUUUGACGUAUUCAAAACAUAGUCAAACGAUACCAUACAACGAUAGAACCAAAUUACGAGAUAUUCUAAAUAUAGUCAAACCAUUGGUCGAUAGCACACAACAAUAUAAACGAAUCAAGUCUUCAGUUAAGAUCAAGAAUCUCACCAAAAGAUGCAGUUGGCACUUGUUCAGUUACUGAUGGCUGCAGCUUGAUACCUUCUUCACUUGCCAACCAAGACCUUAAAACUUGUCUUUAAAGUUGAGUUUAUGCCGAUUAGCCUGCAAAGCAGGAAAACGUAAUAAGCAUUGAUGAAGAACAAUCAACAACACAUGUAAUAUUAAUAGAAUAUAUAAGUUAACAAUGUACAACAGUUUAUAUUUGAAUAAGUAAUUUUUCUACAGGCCAAAGCGUCAUGCAAAAGUAAACAUUGGCAAAACAUUACACCGAUAGUGUACAUCACAUAAGUAUUUGUUCAACUAACAAGAACAGCAAGACAAACCUAACUUCUCUAGAUAACCAUCAUAAGGUCACAAACCUUACUUGUGCAAGAUAUGACCAGGAAAUGGCAACUGAUAUACUGUACAUGAGAAGACAGUCAGUAUCAACAACAUAUAAAAUGGGCAAAGGUAGAAGCAUACACCAGCAGUAUUUAUGGCAUGAAAUGCUCUGUUGUAGAUGGAUUUAUAUUUAGCCCAGCAAGAAGUACCACAAACUAGUUAAUGCAUCAUCCAGAUCAUUUAUGAAACUAAAUCAGAAGUACUACAUCAUAUACACUACAUAGCACCUGAUAGGCAUUAACUACGAAUCAUGUUUUGGGCAGUCAUGCAAAUUUUUCCUAGUGGAGGAAAGUUCAAGUUACAAGAAUCUAUUAGACUCAUAGCUCAUAGCCAAAUCUACUAUAUAUGUCGGCACAACAAGACAAUCUUUGCCUGUCCGCGCAAUAAGAACAUGGUUCAAAAAGCAUACCUGUAAAGACCAAGCACGAAUGGAGAACAAAGCUUAGUGGCAGCCUCUAUGUGCGAAUCUGAGAUUGUUGUUGUUGCUGCUGCUUCAGUUAACGAACAUGUGGCAGAGAACAAUCCUGGUAGCACGAACAGACAAUCAAUUAGAUCUUAAUCACGCUGUGCUGUAGUGCGAGGCAAAGCAGGUGACGGGGGUGGCGAGUGGGAUGGGGAGGUGUUGUUGUUGGGGAUCGGGACGACGUUUAGGGUGAUAAGGAGGGGAUGGGGCGGUGUCAUGGUCGGCGAAUGGGGCACCAACGCUGGAUUGGGGGAUACUGGUGCGGCAUGGACGAAGAUGGGGUGCCUGCUGGUUGGGGAAUGCGCGGCGGCGGCUCUGGGAGUGGGAUCCGGGUGUGGUGUGGAUGGGGAUGGGCAGCGGCGUGAGUCGGAGGUGCGAGUGUGUGGGGGGUCGUCGAUGGAGAUUGGGUGGCGGCACGGCUGGGUGGAGGCAUGGAUGGAGGAUGCAGGGGCGUCGGGCGAUGGGUGGGUGACGAAGGGAAUGGAGGCGGCGGUGCCGAGCGGGGCGGGCAAGGAUGGGAGUGAGUCGGCGAGGGCGCUAGGGUUGGCGGAGUCGACGGCGAGAUGUAGUGCGGCGGCUGACAAGGGAGGGAGAGCGGCUGAGGAGAUAUGUUUUUUUUAGUCCAGCUGAGGGGAUAUGUGGAAUUGUGGAGAAGGGGGAAAUUAAGCCCGCGUGGCCGCGGU
This 4222-nucleotide long non-coding RNA is filed under the name Triticum aestivum (bread wheat). RNAcentral's name for it is "long non-coding RNA (TAES_LNC026747)". Lineage: Eukaryota; Viridiplantae; Streptophyta; Magnoliopsida; Poales; Poaceae. The record is from RNAcentral.